Molecule: long non-coding RNA, 1258 nt
Organism: Lycium barbarum (goji berry)
Lineage: Eukaryota; Viridiplantae; Streptophyta; Magnoliopsida; Solanales; Solanaceae
Exons: 3
Source: RefSeq, a predicted model, not a curated record
AGGUGUUUACUUAGAGAUUUGAUGGACUCAAGGAUUAGAGAUUUUCUCCUAGGCUAUGAUGAGGUUACUGAGAUCUAUUGGGGUUCCUAUUACUAGUUCAUUAUAAGAUCCACGUCAGGCCCUCAUGAGUGAUUUUGAGGCAUCAUAUUCGAGUUUCUAGGGUGAGCAUUGUUCCGAACCGCAGCUCGAAGAACUGUCUCUCUCUUGUCUAUUUCGGCUAUCUCUAUAACUUGUUAUAUUAUCAACCGAGUUCCUUCUUCACCUUUGAACUUUAAGACUCUGGAGAAAUUGUGAUAAGGUACUUCUGCUAAUUAUUCUGAUUUAAAUUUUUUUGGAUAUCCCGCAUAUAUGCAGGCAAAUAAAAAAGGCAUUUUCCUUGGAUAUGCAUCUAGGGGUGAAUGGAUACAGACUCCGGUAUUGUGAUCCCAAGUCACCAAAAUUUAUAAUUAGCAGAGAUGUAACCUUUAAUGAAUCAUCUAUGUUACAUCCCAAAAAGAGUCUUCUAGGUCUUGUGAAGAGCAGGUAUACAUGAGCCGGUGGAGGUUGAACUUGACAUUCCUUCUGAGCCAAACUCAUCAACUGUGGAAGAAAAUAUAGUUGAAACUCCUGAAGUUGAGCCAGAAGCUAAUGCUCCAGAAGUUGAGCCAAAAGUUUAACGAAAUGAGUAUUCCAUUUUUACACAUAGGCCAAGGAGACAAAUUCGAAAAACCAGAAAGAUAUGAAAAUUAUGUUGCAUUUUGCUUUUUUUAGUUGCACAGGAAACUGACGAAACUGAAGAACCAUCAAAAUAUUCAGAAGUUGUAUUUUGUGCUGAUCCAGCCAAGUAGUGAUUGAUUGCAAUGAAUGAAGAAAUUGAAUCUCUCCACAAGAAUGGUACUUGGUCUCUUGUGAAGCUACCAUCAGAAAAGAGAAUUAGUGGUUGCAAAUGGGUCUUCAAAAAAAAAAGGAUGGAAUUCCCGAGGUUGAAGAUGCAAGGUAUAAGGCACGAUUAGUAGUAAAGUACUUGUUACACCUUGGAAAAUUUCGCGUUGUUUGCAUUAUAAGCAAACUAACAUAAUCCCAAAGUGGACAUGAAGCCCUUUCAAAGUUAAGAAAGAUAUCUAACAAUUUUAAGUGUGUACCUUAAGGUUUUGGAGUUAAAUGAAUCGACCGAAGCAAGCUCGUUGAAGACUAGAAUUGGUGUCAUGUUUUUGGAAGGUUUUGCAUCGCUUGUGCUAUAAAUUGAUUAGCAUUAUCUCGAUAGGGAGUUAUAGGGCUU